CGAUCUAAAAAAAGGAUGAAAAAGAAGAAUUCAUGAAGUUUAUAGGUAUUCCUAUGAUUUUUUUCCUAUAUAUAUCAUUGGGAGGUUGGUGGUACUGAUUUUGUCGUGUUUGUACCAUUUGUAGUUUGGAGGUACUGAUUUUGUCACGUUUGAACCAUUUGUAUUUUGUAAAUAUUGAUUUUUGUCUCAAAAUCCUGAGUUGUUACAGAUUAGUACUUGCGANN
Molecule: long non-coding RNA, 224 nt
Filed under: Linum usitatissimum (flax)
Lineage: Eukaryota; Viridiplantae; Streptophyta; Magnoliopsida; Malpighiales; Linaceae
Description: long non-coding RNA (LUSI_LNC006974)
Source: RNAcentral